This 254-nucleotide ribosomal RNA is filed under the name uncultured bacterium. RNAcentral describes it as "partial 16S ribosomal RNA". It matches the Rfam family "Bacterial small subunit ribosomal RNA", at positions 524 to 776 of the family's 1533-position model. The record is from RNAcentral.
GACGUAGGGCGCGAGCGUUGUCCGGAUUUAUUGGGCGUAAAGAGCUCGUAGGCGGCUCGGUAAGUCGGGUGUGAAACCUCCAGGCUCAACCUGGAGACGCCACCUGAUACUGCUGUGGCUAGAGUCCGGUAGGGGAGUGUGGAACUCCUGGUGUAGCGGUGAAAUGCGCAGAUAUCAGGAAGAACACCAGCGGCGAAGGCGGCACUCUGGGCCGGAACUGACGCUGAGGAGCGAAAGCGUGGGUAGCAAACAGG